This 491-nucleotide ribosomal RNA is filed under the name uncultured bacterium. RNAcentral's name for it is "bacterial SSU rRNA". It matches the Rfam family "Bacterial small subunit ribosomal RNA", at positions 28 to 515 of the family's 1533-position model. The record is from RNAcentral.
GACGAACGCUGGCGGCGUGGAUUAGGCAUGCAAGUCGAACGGUAGGAUACCUUCGGGUAUCUGAGAGUGGCGAACGGGUGAGUAACACGUAGGUGAUCUACCCUCAAGAUUGGGACAACCCAGGGAAACUUGGGCUAAUACCGGAUGAAAGCAGCAGUGAUGUUGUUUGAAAGGUGGCGUAAGCUGCCGUUUGGGGAUGAGCCUGCGCUCUAUUAGUUAGUUGGCGGGGUAAAGGCCCACCAAGGCGAUGAUAGAUAGGCGGCCUUAACGGGUGGUCGCCCACACUGGGAUUGAGAUACGGCCCAGACUCCUACGGGAGGCAGCAGUCGAGAAUAGUCUACAAUGGCCGAAAGGCUGAUAGUGCGACGCCGCGUGAACGAAGAAGCCCUUCGGGUGUAAGUCUUUUAUAUGUGAGCAGUGCUUUCUAUGUGACAGCAUGGGAGAGAGAUAUUAGCAUAUGAAUAAGCAACGGCUAACUCCGUGCCAGCACG